AUACUUUUAAGUGGUUUUUGUGCUGUGUGUGAGUACUCGUUAGUUGUUUCAGUUUGCUACAGGCCGAAGGUGGUAAUUUAUUGUAAAGGUUUAAAAAAGAACAUUGUUGACCCUAAAUAUAAAGUUAAUAAUUUUAAAAGCUACAAGAAAGUACUUAUUCUGUUUACCAAUUACUACUCCGACUGAUCCGAAAUGUACAACCGCUUCAUAAGACAGAGACUAAACAAAAUGCAGAUGGGCCAUAUUAAUAAAACUUCAAACAAACUUACUCAAUUGAAAGUAUUAGAAAGACAUCUUAAACAAACAAGAAGGAAAUUUGCAAGGAUUGAACGACUGACUUAUGCAAACAUGGCUCAUCUGUUCUCCAAGCAACUACUCUUCUCACAAGGGAUUUUUCAAAAAUAUUACAUGUUUUUAAAGAGUAUGACAACCAUGUUAACAUCCAUGCUCUUACUCUUUACUACAAUUAAAAAAAAGAUAUAACUGUAAAUUUACAUCUUCAAAGCAGCAUUAAGAUAUUUGUGUUCAGUUUUAUCAAAGAGAAAUCUUAAAAUUAUAUUAGAUUUUAAAUAUUUGUAUUUGUUUAAAAUAAUUUGAAGCUAAAUGUAUUGUAAACUCAAUUAUAUAUAUUGGUUUAAUUUCUCUCUCUGCAAGUCACUUAAGGUCUUAGUUUUAUUUAUUUAAGUUUAAAUUUAUGGAAAUCUUGAGAAUCUUAUUCAACUAUUAAAUGGGAACUAUAGAUUUUAUUAUUAAAAUGUGAUAUUAAUAUACUAUUGUGAUAUGAGAUAAGCAUAAUCAACUGACUUAUUACUAUAGCUUGUUUUAUAAUAUUAAAAAUUCUGCAUAUGAGAAUUGUUCAUGAAAUUAUGUAGAAUUAAUUAUAUAGUAUUAUGGGUAAAAACUAAAAUGUAAUAGAAUUAUGCCUAGUAUUAUUAAAUUUUCAUAAUUU
Pieris napi is the source of this 949-nucleotide long non-coding RNA. RefSeq lists it as uncharacterized. The transcript has 3 exons. Lineage: Eukaryota; Metazoa; Arthropoda; Insecta; Lepidoptera; Pieridae. The record is from RefSeq and is a predicted model, not a curated record.